This 199-nucleotide ribosomal RNA is filed under the name uncultured bacterium. Its description in RNAcentral is "partial 16S ribosomal RNA". It matches the Rfam family "Bacterial small subunit ribosomal RNA", at positions 335 to 526 of the family's 1533-position model. The record is from RNAcentral.
UCUCCUACGGGAGGCAGCAGUGGGGAAUCUUGGGCAAUGGGCGCAAGCCUGAUCCAGCCAUGCCGCUGAGUGAAGAAGGCCUUCGGGUUGUAAAGCUCUUUUGUUGGGAAAGAAAAGAUUCCGGGUUAAUAACCGAGGUYCUUGACGGUACCCGAAGAAUAAGCACCGGCUUACUUCGUGCCAGCAGCCGCGGUAAUAA